This 468-nucleotide ribosomal RNA is filed under the name uncultured bacterium. Its description in RNAcentral is "partial 16S ribosomal RNA". It matches the Rfam family "Bacterial small subunit ribosomal RNA", at positions 28 to 507 of the family's 1533-position model. The record is from RNAcentral.
GACGAACGCUGGCGGCGUGCUUAACACAUGCAGGUCGAACGGAAAGGCCCUGCUUUUGUGGGGUGCUCGAGUGGCGAACGGGUGAGUAACACGUGAGUAACCUGCCCUUGACUUUGGGAUAACUUCAGGAAACUGGGGCUAAUACCGGAUAGGAGCUCCUGCUGCAUGGUGGGGGUUGGAAAGUUUCGGCGGUUGGGGAUGGACUCGCGGCUUAUCAGCUUGUUGGUGGGGUAGUGGCUUACCAAGGCUUUGACGGGUAGCCGGCCUGAGAGGGUGACCGGCCACAUUGGGACUGAGAUACGGCCCAGACUCCUACGGGAGGCAGCAGUGGGGAAUAUUGCGCAAUGGGCGGAAGCCUGAUGCAGCAACGCCGCGUGCGGGAUGACGGCCUUCGGGUUGUAAACCGCUUUCGCCUGUGACGAAGCGUGAGUGACGGUAAUGGGUAAAGAAGCACCGGCUAACUACGUG